Long non-coding RNA from Conger conger (European conger), 2315 nucleotides. RefSeq lists it as uncharacterized. Lineage: Eukaryota; Metazoa; Chordata; Actinopteri; Anguilliformes; Congridae. The transcript is spliced from 2 exons. The record is from RefSeq and is a predicted model, not a curated record.
GACGCAUGCAGUGUUUUUACACCCAGUGAAAAAUGGACUAAUGGAAGCUUACAAUGAAGCAAAGUAUAUAAUAGCCUAUGUAAAAAAUGAAACAUGGCAAACCGUAAGAAAAAGCCCGGCAGCCAAUAGCGGACUGAAUAAAUGCGAAGAUGCAGCAGAAGAUGAGAGGGAGUGAAGAAGUGGAGGAGAAGGAGGAUGAGGAGGAGGAUAGAGAAAGAGAAAGAGAAAAUAACUGUUAAAGGCCCCUUCAGCCCCUUCAGCUAGAGGGAAGUGUAAGCAGGCCGAAUCAGAGAGCACAAUUUUUUAUGAAAUAGGGAAUUAUUUGAAAGCCAAAAAUCAAGCAAUAAAGUCUGAAGUCCCUGAUGACCGCAUCACAACAUUUUGUAAGAACAUAGAAAAUAAAGUAGAAUUCAGCACCUGGACAUUGCACUUGAUUUAGAGCAGCAGCUGGAGCUGGCCUGUCACCAUGCUACCGUGAGGGCAAUGCACCUCCUCUGCAUAUACAGGUGCUUCUCAAAAAAUGUGAAUAUCGGGGAAAGUUAUUUUAUUUGUUUUAAUCUUGUAAAAGUAUCCAGUAUCUCAAAAUAUUAUAAUAUUAUAUAAGACCAAUCAAAAAAAGCAUUUAUAAUACAGAAAAAGUAUGUUAAUUUAUGCACUCAAUACUUGGUCAGGCAAUCAUGGGGAAGACUGCCGACUUGUAGUCCAGAAGACACUCAUUGACAUCUUCCACAAGGAGGGUAAGCCACAGAAGGUCAUUGCUGAAAGGGCUGGCUGUUCGCAGAGUGCUGUAUCAAAGCAUAUUCAUGGAAAGUUGACUGGAAGGGAAAAGUGUGGUAGGAAAAGGUGCACAAGCAACAGGGAUGACCGUAGCCUUCAGAGGAUUGUCAAGCAAAGCCAAUUCAAGAACUUGGGGGAGCUUCACAAGGAGUGGAUUGAGGCUGGAGUCAGUGCAUAAAGAGCCACCACGCACAGACUUGUCCAGGAAAUGGGCUAUAAGUGUUGCAUUCCUAGCGUAAAGCCACUCCUGAACCGGAGACAACGUCAGAAGUGUCUUAGCUGGGCUAAGGAGAAAAAGAACUGGACUGUUGCUCAGUGGUCCAAAGUCCUCUUUUCAGAUGAAAGUAAAGUUUGCAUUUCAUUUGGAAAUCAAGGUCCCAGAGUCUAGAGGAAGAGUGGAAAGGCACAGAAAGUUGCUUGAAGUCCAGUGUGAAGUUUCCACAGUCAGUGAUGAUUUGGGAUGCCAUGUCACCUGCUGGUGUUGGUCCACUGUGUUUUAUGGAAUCCAGAGUCAAUGCUGACAAGCUUUAUGGAGAUGCUGAUUUAUUUUUCCAGCAGGACUUGGCACCUGCCCACAGUGCCAAAACUACUAGUAACUGGUUUGCUGACCAUGGUAUUACUGUGCUUGAUUGGCCAGCCUACUUGCCUGACCUGAACCCCAUAGAGAAUCUAUCGUGUAUUGUCAAGAGGAAGAUGAGAGACACCAGACCCAACAAUACAGACGAGUUGAACCCGGGCUUCCAUAACACCUCAGCAGAGCCACAGGUUGAUUGCCUCCAUGCCACGCCACAUUGAGGCAGUAAUUUGUGCAAAUGAGCCCCGACCAAGUAUUGAGUGCAUAAAUGAACAUACUUUUCAGAAGGUCGACAUUUCUGUAUUAUAAAUAAUUGGUCUUAUGUAAUAUUCUAUUAUUUUGAGAUACUGGAUUUGAGAUUUUCAUGAGCUGUAAGCCAUAAUCAUCAAGAUUAAAACAAAAAAAGGCUUGAAAUAUUCCACUUAAUGUGUAAUGAAUCUAGAAUAUAUAAAUGUUUCACUUUUUGAAUUCAAUUACUGAAAAUAAUGAACUUUUCCAUUCUAAUUUUUUUUCUUCUAAUAUUCUAAUUUUUGUAUUGUAUUUUUGUACUGUAUAUCCCCAGCAAUCUGCGGCUUACCAGCCAUUGUCAGGGGACUGGUAGUAGCAACUUUAUCUCUCAGCUUUGUUCUCGUAGGCUACCUUGCAAUUUAGCUACGAAUUAGACAGUGUUAAUGACAGUGGUUAAGGGCAGUCCGUUUGCCUGUUUUCAGUCAUUUUCAGCCCUUGAACCCCCAUGCACUCAAGUGUGCUGGGUGCAGAUGUGCAUAUAUAUUUAUUUGCACUAAAUGCAAGUACAAUAUGAUUGAAAACCAGACUCUUUGUUCAUCACCAUGCCUUCACAUAAUACUGUAUGUAGUAAUAUAACCCUUGCUUUACCCUACAGCUAGGACCAAAUGUGGUCAAACCCCUAAUAUAUUGUGUUUGAUCAUUAUGUCUUAAUUAAAAUGCCCAUAUUUGAUUCUUA